Molecule: long non-coding RNA, 768 nt
Filed under: Carica papaya (papaya)
Lineage: Eukaryota; Viridiplantae; Streptophyta; Magnoliopsida; Brassicales; Caricaceae
Description: long non-coding RNA (CPAP_LNC011676)
Source: RNAcentral
CUGCUCAUCGACCGCUUUUCCUUCCACUCACACUCCCCACUCAGCUUCCUAUAUUAAGCCUCUUGUCACUAAAUCUCUGCUAAUUGACAAUUCCGCUUCAUUAAACUCUAACAGCCUACGCGAAGGCUCUGAUAAAUUUAAAUCCACUCGCCAAGUCCUACUCCGCCGCUGAUUUCUAACCUAAUUCGUUCCAACAAAUACUGCUGGUCCUUCCAAUUUUGAAUGAACUCUUCUCCCUCUCCAUCACUCCAGUACUGUUAUUUCCUCAAUUCUCUCUGCAUUCUUUCCCUCGACACUCAACAAUCAUGCUGGAAUUGAAAGUUAGAAAUUUAACAUACAUUGCCAACAUAGAAUUUGAAGGUCAAAAUUUACUUACCUCAUGUUUCCAUCUUCCACUGGUUCAGCAGAAUUUCUCUUCAAUCUCAUUUUUCCUAGCCAAUUCCAGUCGCAACGUCUCUCACUCACUCUUCUCGAUCUUUCUCCCUUUAUUCCCUCUCUUUUCUCCUAUUUACUUUUCUUUUUUUUUCUUAGCCCACCACUCCCUUUUAUACCCGACCCAGCUCAAUCGUAACCGUUGAAAUCCUCUACAACCUCCUCCACCGUCCAUCCUGAUGUUCCCUUACUAUUUAGUUCAGCCUCAACCAGUCCUCCUCUUGUAGGACACUACAGACGCAUAUAUUAAUUUCCCUUUUAGAAUACUCAAAUACAUUAAAACAUUACAUGAGUAUUUUAAGACAAGAGAUGAAUUAAUAAAAUUUAAUUUUUAUU